Gallus gallus (chicken) is the source of this 17107-nucleotide long non-coding RNA. RefSeq lists it as uncharacterized. The record is from RefSeq and is a predicted model, not a curated record. The transcript is spliced from 6 exons. NCBI's taxonomy places the organism in Eukaryota, Metazoa, Chordata, Aves, Galliformes, Phasianidae.
GUGGCGGGCUGCAGCAUGGCGGCGAAGGCGUGCAGGGGGGUUCGAGGCAUUCGGUCGUGUUCGCCCCGCUUUGUUCGCCUUUACCUUGGGGUGACGAAGUCUGUCUAAGGCCUUUCAGCACCGACUCUCACUCUUUGCUAAGACAUGGGCAGAAAGGUUUUUAUCUCCCAUUGGUGUCACCCAGAGCCCAGUCAUGGAGGUUGCCCUAGAAGGAAUAAUCUUACUUCACAGCUCAGCCACCAAUACUUAGAAGAACUGCUGAGAAAAAAGCCUGUGCAGAACUUCUCAUGUAGUACCGAGAAACAAGGAAAUCACUGGCCUUCUCCAACUCCACUGACAGGGUAGUAGUGAUGCAGCUCAUCUGAACAGCUACAUGGUAUGAAAGUACAAUGAAGAAGGAGACAAUCGUAUGCCCCAGAGAGCCAGGCAGGAUACACACACUGUGAAGAAUAAGAGAGACAAGAACACCAGGCAGCUCAAACUGUUGAGAGCUUUAACACUGUACUGUUUUAAACCACUCAUAUGCAGUCCAUUGCCACACUGUCCUUGAUAAAGAACCAAAAUGUUUGACCAGAACUCCCACAUUCCUACUCUCAGAAGAAUAGCUGUGAUUAUCCAGAGCCACCAGGGUACAAAUGGAAGCAGAGGUAAGUGGGGGGAGCAGCCAGAGGGCUGUGAAUAAUGGCAGCGAAACGGGAGGAAACAACUUCAACAAAGAAGGAUUGUUGGCUCGGCUCAGAACUGAAGUUUCUCUGUUCCUGAAUGGAGCAUUCAUAAGUAAAAUAAGCUUCUUGAACCAAGCAUUCCAAAUUAUUGUAAAAGCCACUUGAUAAAGUGAAGUACUAUUAUUCAUUUUGGUACUUGACUCUCCAGAGAGAGAGACAGCUGUUGUUCUUACUGUAGCAACUUACGAACCAGUUGUACAGCUGUAGCAGUGCUCCUGGUUGUGUCCCAAUCAAGCAGGCAGUUUCGUUCCAAAUCCUUGUUUCAGAAAACACUGCUACAGAAAAAUCCAAAACCAAUUAAAAAUACCAACAAAUGCGCUGCAAACCUUAACAUCUGGGCAGAAUCCACAUAGAAGAAAUAUGUUGAGGGGCUUCGAACAUAAAGUUUCAGUUUUUACUCAAAUUACUGCAGCAUAAGUUAAUGUCAGUGAAGUAGGAGAGUCACUUUGGAUUUAGCACAGGACCUGGCUCAGGGCACUGGAACACAGAACAGAAGUAAAUACUAAUCAUGCUCGCUCACACUGAGAGGAUUAGAUAACUACAGACGUAGGAAAUUAAAACCACAACAAGAUGACCCCAACGUUUAUGAUUUCCCUGUUGUACCAGAUCAGUCAAUAUGAAUAAUUGACAUUGUAAAUUGAAAUCCUCAGAUAAAAAUAAUAGUUUUACCUCUUUAUUUCUCUUCACUCACAUAUAAAUUGAGCGGGCUAUCUCUGACAAUGCCACGGUUUAAUAUUCUAAAUGCACUAUCUCCUUUAACAAUGCCUGGAAUAGAAACAAGCUGCUGAGCCAGAUCCUCAAGGGGUGAAAAUCAACAUUGCUGCACUGACUUCAGUGGAAGCAUAUUGAUCUACACCAGCUAAAGCUGUGGGCCCUAGUGGGCAAUUAGGUUUCUAUUAUAUGCUAAUUUAAAUAAUGUAUCACAGAACAUUUGCUGUACAAUAAAGCGAGGCUACAUUCUUCUGUGGAGAAGGACAAGCACUGGCUGUGGCAUGGUGAGAGUUAUGUAUUCUGGUUUCAAAGAGCUGGAUGAAGUUUCGGUAUAAACUCCUGCUCAUAACAAUGUUUUAAAACCUGUAAUUACUCAUACUGUAUUACUUCAGGAAGCCUGUAAUUAUUUUGUAAGUUCUUACCAAUGUCUAGUCUAGUUUAUAAUUGCUAACACUGCUUCCUUCAAAAGAAUUAGUAACUAUGUUAAAAUCUGGUUAUUGUUAGGUUCCUACUAUACAGAGUGGCUGCGCUGUUACAUUACAAUCUGUAUUCAACAGAGGAACAAAAAAAUCAAACUGAUUUGUGUCAGUUUGAGCCUGAACAAACUAAACGAGUACAACAAUCCCACACGCUUUUCUUUUGCUGCCUCUGUAAUGCCUGGCAACAGGAUUGUGGCUGCAUCUGUACAGGAGUUUAUAGCACCAAGGUCCAUCUACAGGAGCCUCUCACUCUCCCGGGAAGGCCUCGUGUGCCACACAGAAGAUGGAAAAGCAGAAAUGCUUCUUUCUUUUUCCCCCCUACAGUCAGAGACCUUUCAUCACAGCCUCGUUGACAGCAAAACAGUUCUUCAGGAUCUCAGCUGUUUUAGGGGAAUCAUGAGGCCGUUCAGGUGGAAAGAUACCAUCACUGUUCAAAAAAAUAUUAACAACAGUUGUUAAAAAGUCCGUUCUCUUCUGCAGCAAUUUCUUAAAUGAGAGAGAAAAAAAAAAAGCUUCCUUUUUUCUAAGUAUUUGUCAUCUCUCAUCCUGCCUUAGUCAUCAACAAGCAAGCUAUUAGCAUGCCGAGGUCCCUGCCUGAAGCCCCCUGCCUACUAGGUCCCUGCUAGACUUCUGAUAUGGUCAGGAUGAGGGCAUCGUUGCACACUGGCAGUUCUCCUACAUUGCAACUCUUCAAGUGAAGCAGCAGGAUUCAGUACAUGGUUUGUUUUGAAAGCUAAAAGCACAUCUCAGAAGGGCAAUUUGGAAGCUCUCUGAAUACCACUUUUGGGAGAGGGAUCAGCAAAGCAGGACAUUCUCCUUGUAUGUGUGACUCUUACAUCGAAGUCACAGGAGGAAUCUCCUCGAGAUGAUACUCCAAAGACUAAAAAAAAAAGCCCCACACACCAUUUUUAUUUGUCUUGUUUUUUAAGGAACCACUCAGGGUAGAGAGGCAAAGCAAUAUGGGCUGAUGCAGGUCCAAGUGUUGCAAGACAAGAUGUGGUAGCAAUCUACAACAUUACUCCCUUUGUAAAUUACUCCCUUUGUAAACGCAGUUAUCCUGGUAAUAGUGCCUUUCUCUGGUUGCACUUAAAACUCUUCACAAAUACUUUAAUUUCACACAGAAAAAGUUUGUAUGGAGCCAAACAUUUUUAAUGUUAGCAGCCACACAAGAAAAGCGUGUCACACAGGUCACAAGUAAAGUCAUCACAAGAACACAUUUGUACUUCUCAGCUGCCCCUUCACCUUGCUUUGGGGAGGCUCUACAGACAUGGUGAAAAUACCAAGUUUGCAAUCUACAUUUGAAAGAAGAAACUAAAAACUAUUUUGGUUAAGGUUUUGAUGCUGCUUGCAUUCCCACCAGGGAAAAGGGAGUACACAACCCUACCUUGCUAUCCCCACAAGCCAUUCAGCAGCAGCUACUAGCCAUUGCAUGGCCCUGUCCUGUCCUUUCUCUCCCUGUUCCGCCGCCGCCACAAGCCUGAUAAGGGGCCCAAACUGUUCUGUGGUAGAUUAACCUCACCCUGAAAUGGUUCCCUGAUUUAAUUCCCCACAUGGCAGCGGAGAUGCUGCUUGUGCUCACACAAGGGAGAGGUGUAUCCAUUUGGCCCUGCUGGUCAAUGGCUGGUUUGAACGCUCAGACGACUGAACCAUCAGCCCAGUAAUCAGCAAGAGGAGGCAAAGGGGGUAGCAGAAACAAGGACGAGAAACACAGGUUAGUUUUCCAAGAAACAGAAUAGUCUAUGAAUAAGUCAGUGGUUUCUAUGGCCAUGAUUGCUGUGAAACUUCAGGCCCGUCACUCACUUGAUGUCUCAAUUCCAGCUGUGAAAUGAGGACAACACUUUUUACAUCACCGAAGUGAUGUAAGUUGAAAAUUAAUGACUUGGAUACUCUGAUGAUGAGGGCCAAGUCAGUACAUAGCUAAGAGAGAGGAGUGAUUAGUGACAGGGAGGGGUGAAGGAAUCAACGUAUUAUUUUUGGUGAACUGCUUCCUUGGAGGAUAAAUGAGAGUAACUGCUACUUACUUGAUUGCAAGGAAUUGAAAGAGGUCUCUGUAGCUCCCCCGUGGGUGGACAACCGAACAAUUCAAUGGCUAUGACCUAAUUUUAGUCAGAGACCUUAUGUCACAAGGAAUUUACAGGGAGGUGUCUUCUAUGUCCAAAUAAUAAUUGCACUGUGAAGGAUAAUCAACUAAUAUUAACUCAGCCAUCCAAAAUUCAGGGACAGACUGUAUCCCAUUCCCCUUCCUCAAGUUCUGACUUUGAUACCUGGCAGACAACUGCCUGUUAGAAAAUAUCCCACGUGUCCGCUCCAUCAGAUUGAAAGAAAGUCUGUGAACAUACUGCUCCAAGACCAGGAUGAGGAGUUCAGGCUAAGAAAAAUGUUACAGAAGCAGAAAUGUAAAGGUGGCAGGUGACAUUAGAAUCAAAUCUCAAGUUCUGUGUGAUAUAUAAAUUGUGGAUUAUCAGCGAGUGGGCUUUGUACAACACCCACACGUACCAGCAACACUAGGAGGCAUCUCUUUUCAAGCUUCCACUGCUAAUGCGUGAGGAGCCAUCAAGUGAGACUGUUAUUGUUUCAGCAGCUUGUUUUCCUUGCAGCUAAAAACCGUCCGUUCUGUCUAGCCUGAAUUGUCCUACCUUCUCACAGAAGAACAUGUGAAACAUUAAUUCUCCUCAUGCUAAUAAAGGACUGCUAAGACAGGACUGCGUGAGAGCCUGGACAAGUCGCAGAACUGUUGCCAAAUUACGUGUGUGCCUAACUUCUGUAAAAUGCGAAGGUCUCACUGAAAAACACAGGAGUUACAUGAUUAAAUAGCAUCAUGAAGCUGGGCUUAUGCCCUUCUGUACUUCAGGUUCGACCUGUAGAAUAUUAAAACUGGAGAAAUUCUGUCUGUGAGGAUCUGCUAAAUACUGCAGAGUGCUUAGAUACACCAACAGGAAUAGCAGCCACGUAAAUACUUCAAUAGGUAAACAGCACUUCAAGUCUCACUGAGCUUACUGUAUCUCUUUGCUAGAUUAGAGAGUGUAUACUCAGAAAACACAUACAGACAAAUGGAAAAGAAAAAUCCACUGAAGAAACCUUUGAAAUACCAGUCUCAUGAUUUCAGAUCCUGUCUUGAUUUUGUAACCUGGAUCUAGCCAUUCUAGAAACUCUUGAAAAAGCAUAGCACUGAAAUUCCUUUUCCUCUCCUCUGAGCCCAGGGAUCAGCCCUAAACAAUUAUCAUUAUGAAGUUGUACCAGUGGGUUAAAAGAGUCAGAAAACUAAAUACUGCACUGUCUGGAUUUGCACUGAAGACCAAGUCAGGCUGAAAUCUCUGCAGUUUGGUAGUUUGCAAAUAAUUGCUAGGAAUGCAUAAGCGCUAUUGGACUUCCAAAACAGAUCCUUCCAGUUUUAUGAGCAGAGAGUAAAGCACCCAGCAAACUGUACUCAAGCCUGAAAUUCUUAGGGCUGCAUCUGCUUUUGUUCAGCUCUUUAUUUUCUGAAAGUCUUGUGGUCAGGAAAUGAAAUGUGAAUCUCUCAAUUCUUGGCUAUGACACAGGCUUCUUGUGUGGCCCAAGCCAAGUUUCCUAAGCUAUACUUUGGUCCCUGAGUUGGGAAACAGGUAAAACACAACCCUCAGUGAUGUUUUGUGCAUAAAUUAACUCAUGGAAGCCGGUUUUUCAAAGAGUUCACUAAUUAACAUUAUAGACAACCCUAUAGAUAAAGAGAUUGUCAGAGGGCUCUGUCUGGAAGCCCUGGCAAAGGGAAAGAGCACAUUCCAGAGCCGAUGAUAGGAUCUGCAGACGAUUGAAGAAAACCAAGCUCACUGAAUUCCACAAAGACAGUUUUUAAGAAUAUAUAUUUCUUUGUAAUAUAUUCCCGUAUGGAUUUCAUAUAGCAUAGGGUAUCUCCUGCAUUUAGUUUUAUUUAGAAUGAAAUGCCACCACGAGAAGUUGUCAGCACAACUUAUAUAUGGUAUGUUGACAAAAUUUUACUGAAUUGGAGAAAUACUGAAAGAUUUACUUGGUUUGGAACAGUCUUAUGUUGGACACACUGUGUUCCACAAAUAUACAAGUCUUAAGUCACCGGAGAAAGCAAAAGUUCUACAAUAAGCACAUUGAUUAUCACAGAUUUUAGGAUAUAAGCUCAUUGAGGCAGAUGAUUUUUCAUGUGUUUGCACAGUGUCUACUAUCUGGUCUGCACUUGAAACAUAUAAGGUAUUUGACAAAACUUAAUUUUCUAAGUUUCAUAUACCCAUUCAAUAGCUAAACAUGAAAUUCAAGUGCAGUAAAAUAAAAUACAGCUUUCACACUACAGUGUCUAGAAACAGACUACAAACAAGAAGGAGCAUUACUAACUGUUGCUCUACGUCCACUGAAAAAAGAAGCUACAAUGAGGAAGGACUAAACCACGAAUCUUUAUAUUUUUUAAAAUUAUAUAGCAUAGACAAACUUGCAGCCUUCACUAUCACAAGUUUCACCUAAUGAGAAAAAUCAAACUGUUUAUCUCAUUUUGUAAUAAAUAUCAAUCCAAAUAGUCAGCACUGAAAGAUAAAAACAAGAUAAAGUUUCUAUGAAGUCUGCAGGUAUGGUUCUCAGAGACCACUGAAAAGCAAUUGUACAAUUAGGAGCUGAAAAGUGCUUUCAAAACACAAUAGAAACAAUGGAAAAUUCUGUUGUAAGUUACUGCCUAACACACAUAUCAAAUAGUUUGAGUUCUCUUUGAAACGUAGAAACUUAGUGGUGACAGGAAUUGAAUAUUCAUUUGUUGCCUUUGAUUGAAGACCAUAUUUCAGUACUGGAAAAUGGAUUUUUCACUGCUGCUGUGCACCAGUGAAUUCACUUCCUUCAUUUCAAUAUAACAACAUCUCAGUAUAGCAUUACAUCUGAGCAGUAACAACAGCCUAUGAGAAUCCUCAGAACACAUGCAACAAAUGACUACUUUAGAAUUUCUCAGUCAAAGCUCAGGUUAGCAUCAUCUUUGGUUUGUGUUUACUCAUAGGUUGUAUAAUUAAUCUGUCAAAAGCUUUGCUGCAUAAUUAAUGACAUUCAAGAUCAGCAUGCUCCAAAAGUAUUACUAAGUUUAUUUAAAUAAAUAAGAUUCCUUAUGAUUUUGUGACCAAUUAAUCAGCAGCACUUUUUUGAAACACAAAUUCAACUUCUUGUUAUACACUGUGUUAUGGAAGGGACGAAGCCUGUCUGAUCCUUCAUUCUUCCCAGAACUGGAAAUACAGAGAGCACCGUUGGGGUUUCCCACAUAUCUUCACACACAGUUCUAUGGCUGGGACUUUGCCAUCACUAUGCUCCAGUAGAUUUCCAGCCUGUUUAUGUCCUAGUACAACUGAGUGUAAUUUAUCUUCCUUAUAUAUAAAGAAUGCGAGCGAUUACAGAGGAAAUACAGUCACUGCGAAGCUGUAACUUUUAAGAAUUUGGAAUCAAUUCUGCCAGGGCAGGGAGAAGCACUGCUUGCCAAAAACAAGCUGGAGAAAUGCCACUUUGAAAUUAGACCAUACACUUUUGGAAUAUACACUAUCAGGGUACCAAAGCGGUAUUUUGCUAGGAAUGGUACAGCUCUGAAUCCUCCCUUUAAAGCAACAAUACUGAUCUUUGAAACCAUUCAAGUAUUUUGCACUUGCCUUAGGGAGCUUAGCAGUGGGGAAUGUUUUGACCAAUAUACUUCUACACUGCAAGUGGAGGCAGCAGCAAAGAGCCGAAUAACUAUUCCAGGCAGAAACUGCAACCCUAAUCUGGAAUAACACGGCAGCCGGGUCUUGAUGUGCAUGACUGCCUGAGCAGGAAGAGAUGAAAAGCAUGCAUUACCAAGCUGGGCAGUAAUUUUCAUCUUGGACCUUGAAAUAUCAAGUCUUCCCUAAAGUGAAGCGAGCAGUUGAGUGGAGCCCAUGCAAACACAAAGGCUCCCUUAGCCCCUUAUCUGAUGUCGGUGAUCCUCUGAAAUUAGGUGUUACCCAGGAAGAGCAGUGGGAAGGUACAGGACUUGCCACUCCUAGGUGGUACCUGCCUUAAAUACAUUCCCACGGUUUUUCAGUCACGUUGCCAGAGAGGAAAAAUAAACCAACCGAGGCCAGCAGCUCCCUGAGAAAGCUGUAAAAAAGGAGUUGUGGCUCGCACCGAUUGGCACAGCAGAGAAACAACCUUCUCCUUUCACCAGGUCUCCACAUAGUCCAAACACACAGGGCAGCAGGUGCGGCCCUGGAGCAGGAGGCUGCCAGGCCGAAGGCAGCGCUCCUGUGCAGGUAGGAGCCAUCAAGGAGCUGGCGAUGACUUGUGCUGUGUGAUUUACUGCUGGGCACCAUUCCCAAAUGUGUUAGUGAAGUUGCAGCCAAAGUUAUGCACAUCCCUUAGGUCUUGUCUUCAGACAGCCUGGCCAAGAUGAUCAAGUAUUGUUUUCAAGCAAAACAAGGAUGAGAUGCUAUACAGUAUUCCUGUUACAAUUGAUGUUUACGUUUCACUGUUCUACUGCACAGCAUUGCCAACUCUCAAAUACUUAAUAAAAACAGUAUAGAACAAGAAAGAAACAAGUGUAUGCACAGAUGAAGUCUGAGAUUUUUAAAAUAUACCUGAGUUGCUCUAUUUGUUUUGUUUGCUUGUCUUCUGUAAUUCCAAGUGUAAAAGACAACAGACAGCAGUAGUCCUUAAUCACAUUCAAAUGAAGCAAAAUGACAUUAUGAAAGAAAGCAGCCAAUGGAUUCAAUAAUUCAUGGCAAUCACUUUCUUGAAGGUCUUUCGAAAACUGAGAGUAAAUAGGACAAAUAACUGUUAGAACUGAAACACCUACUUGAACAGCUGUGAAGCUCCGGGAAGCAGUGAUGAAGCCUAAGAACCUUGUCAGGUUUCUGUAAGCAGCCUGUUCAAGUUUCACGUACCAGUUAGUGACAAAAAAAAAAAACAUUUCUAUAUAGUGUGAUCACCACACAAACAGACACUCCUUUUAGCUCUAAUUAGUAUUAAAAGAGAAGCUGUAUUCAUGCUUUGAUUUCUACUACAGCUUUGGAUCAUACGGGACACAACAGCUCCACACAAGCUGACUGAUGAUGGUGUAAGCACUUCACUGGGCAGUUCUGAGAGGAACAAAAAUGAUGAAGCCAUGAGAAGAACAAAGAAGCACAAAUGAAUGAUUUUUGCUGUUUGCAGGGUACUCUGUCCCUGGUAUCAUCCACACGUGGGACUGACAGUUUCUGAAUGGAGUUCAAAGAUGACUUUGUUUCAGAAAUAAGAUGAGCCAUGAGUUAGAUGCAUGGAAGAAAAACAUAUUUCCAAGCAACAUCGACAAGUACAAACACCAAGAAUAAUUUUAAAGGCAGCUGAGAAUUAGCUAACUUUGCCCACCUGUUCCCAAAAGCCAGAGCACAGCAAAAGAGAGGGAAGGGUGGCAGGCAGAAACACUCUAUAAAAAAAGAAAGCAUUUUCCAACUUGAAUUAUGCUUCUCAUGGACAAGCGUAAAGCACACACUAUCAUCAGUCUGUAGUUUGUCCAAAAACUGCAACAAGUCCAUGAAAAUAGGAAACUACAUCCAGAAUUGCUCGCACCAGUCAUGACUGAUGGAUUUAUUGGGUAGAUUUCAGUAGAUUUAGCAGCCCCUCUGGGAACUCCUUUGCAGAAACUCAGGUAGUGAAUAUAAAGCUGUGCCUUACAACACAGUUUAUCCACGCUUUUCAGUCUUGCAUUCUACCAGCAAUAUGGCUGAUACCAGACAUGACGUUAAUUUACAAAGCUUUUAGUUGCUAGGCAGGCUCUGGAUAUUCAGAAUACAAAAUAUGCAGAAUGAUGCAAGUAAGCUUUGGUAUUGACUAACAAACUAUUUGAUAUUCUCAGCUACUCAUUUUCAACAUGGGGUGCACAAGACAAUCCACUGGGGUAUAGGGCUCUGCAAUCAAAACUGUUGGGAGAUUGCUGUUCUGAACAAUGUGAUACGCAUGAAACAACAUCUAGUAGCUACCUGCAUUAAGCAAUGUGCCUGCAUAAAGUUCUCCUCUGUAAGACAAAGUUUUGAUAACCACUCCAGGGAGAAAUAAAGGCAAGGGAGGUAGAUAGUUUGUCCACCACCGUCACUAUAGCAGAGCUGAGGAACAAUGGCUUUGGAUGAGAAUCUGGCACAUACGUACACAAACAAAUAAUAAGUACAUUCAGAUAAAAAGAAGGUCCCUGUUUAAUGGCAAUAUAGAAGUGCAAUGUCCUUUCAUGCUUUCCUUGCUCUCUAUUUUGGUUCCCAAACUUGUUAAACACACUUCAUUGUAAUUCUGUUUCUGUGUACUUAAUACACAAUUUACAGUGUUUUGUUUAACAGCUUGUUUAAGAGUAAAUUCGUACAGGCUUCCUGCUUCAUGCUAGUUCGUUUUAAUAAACUCACAUUUCCUACGCAAUCCAUGAGCAAAGCUGGGGUUUGAGUCAUCUCUUCUGACAAUCCAUCCUGUGGAUGAUUUGUUAUUAAUCACACUAGUAACCAGAAGAGUUUGUAUAUAUUUAGGGAGCUCAUCAUAAAAAUUAGUCAUUUUAGCAACUGCAGCACCUUGGCAUGCUAUUUCCACUGCUCUUUCCUCCAACGUGCGGAAUCUGAAUGCAAGUUUCUCUCCAAGUGAUGUGAUGAGUAGGCACUAAUUAAGUUUCCUGUGUGCACCAGUGAGCCUCUGUUGGAGUCCCCAGCCCAGACUGCCAAAAAGUGGUAAGAAAAUCAGACAUUUUUCAGCGUGGUGAGGGAGAAUUGUGGCUUUACAGAGCACAUGUGAACUUUGGUAAAUGGAAAGACAAUUAAAGCCCAUGCGGAGACAUGGUUUCUGGAGCUGUCAUAACCUCUGGUGCGCUUGGAGCUAUUUCAGAAGGCUGCUAAAGGAACAAAGAUCUCUUGAAGAACAGUGCAUAAAAAGUUAGAAAGGUAAAGCACGGAGGUGUUCUAGGGGCCCUCAUCUUUCAUGAUUAUAUGAAACAGAUGGCUAAAAAGGGAGUAAAGGUGCAGUUGUGUUGCUACCCUUAACUAUACUGAUAAAGGCAUUAAAUUGGCACUAGCAGCUUGCUGUCAAAAGAGAGUGAAAGAAGAACACAAGAAAGUGAAUUAGAGAUGAAGAACGUUGACAUAAAGGAGGAGAAAUGAAAGAAAUGAAAUGAAAGAAAUGAGGAACUAGACAGCAAAGGAAAGGGGAUCAGGCAAUUACAUAGCACUUCAGCAAGAUGACAGUACUGCAUGCAGCCCGUGCAGUCCCAGGGAGACGUGAAUUCCAAGAGGGAGGAUUCUUACAUCCACCCAAAUGGAAUAGCCAGAAUGGAACACUGAAGAUGGAGACUGCAGUAGUAUCACGCUUCAGUCUAAAAAUAUAAGCAGUACUCAUUUCCCAAUCUGUUUUUACAGUGUUAAUCCUCCUUGGCAAAAUUAAAGUAAAAAACUUUCAGAAUUUUUUUUUUUGGACAGAGAAUGGAAGCUUCAGAAACUGAGGCUGGGAGGAUGUUUAAGCAGCAGAAACCCAGCAAUCAGCAAAGCGUAGGUUUGUUGUUUUCACUCAUGCUCCAUACUCCAAGGGCUCACCAAAAAUUAUGUUAAAAAUCGUUGCAUUUUGGUUGUAUCUAAAUUUUAGUUUUGAUGAUCAGCUAGCACUUUAUUCUAAGCUUCACACUAUAUAUGAGACAUCAAAGCUGUAACAUCUCUUUCUUACAUUAAGUUGCCUGAAUACAGCAAACUAAUUAUUCAACUGAAAAUACAUCAGAGGAAAUUUACCUUGAGAAUUUACCAAUCUGACAAGAGAUAAUGGGUUUACUACCAAAUAGAAGGGUUUUACCGUACACAAUCUAGUAGGCUCACAGCAUAGCCAGAUCCUAUUGCAAAGCAAAGACCUUAACAUGAUAGAAGAGAAAAGCAUUAGUUGUGUUAACGCCUGUUCAACAGUGAACCGUUUCUGCAGUAUAAUAAUGCAUUAUCUAGCUCCUGUUCACACUUCGAUUAAAAAAAACACCAAACAUAACACACAACAAAAACACAAACAACCCAACAAACCAUUCCCUCUUUGUAGUUUAAGAGAGCCAACAGCCUCUUCAUAAAACAAUUCUGUUGUCAUUUUUACAUAGGGUUAGCUGAUGCCUUUCCCCUUCUUAUUCUAAAAUGAGCUAAACACAGUUAAUGACUUCAAAAUAGAAUUAGCUCAACAGCAUUUGGCUGAAAGCAUUUAUUUCUAUGAAUCCAGUUAUAAAUUACGAAUCCAGUUAUAAAUCAUAACUUAAAGGCAUAUUGUAAAGAACUUCACUGAACAUUCAAACAGCAGCCUUCUAUAUUAAAGUGGUAUUAGAGCUUAGACAUUAGUCCAGUCAACAUAAAUUCCGAUUUUAACAGGCUUGGAUAAGUAUCUAAAUUUUGGCUCAGCUAGUGAGUUUCAGCUGUCAGUACUCUGAAAUAGAUACAAGCUUUAACAAACCUUUAAUUCAAAAGCCCAUUAUUGUACCAACUGGAAUAGAAAGACUUCAGUAUCAAAGAGGAGUUCUUCCCUCCUUUCAUGGUAUUACUUCUGUAAGACACCAAUUGAUCUACAGCCCUUGAAAGAAAGCUUCUCGUUUCCAUCUCCUGGAUAAAAGUCAGUGCAGUUUUUUCAUCCGUCACAGUGUAACAGCAUCUAAAUAUACCUUCUGCAUCAACUUAUAACAAGGAGGAAAACCUGAAAACCACAAGGCUAUUACAUGACAUGUCAGUUUACUUUGUCUGACAGAUUCACUGCAGAAUGAAGAACAUUUUCAUUAAAAAAAUUAAAUGAAGAUUUGUUUAGAGUACUCAGUGAGGAAGAAAUGAGGAAAAAGAGAAGCAUGAAUUUAUCCAGCUGUACGUAGUGCUGGUGUUAUUCUGAUGUGCAGUUCGGCUUCAAGAAGAACAUACGGGUAGCUCACUGCAUCCAGCAAGUGAAACACAGCCCUCAUCUGAACAGCAAGGUGCUGUGCCCCCUUCUCUUGGGGAAGAGAAGGGCUGUGCAAGCAGCACUGUGGCAAGGAGGGGCUGCUCUCUGACAGCAGCCAUGGGAAGAAGGUGCGUAACAGGCGAGUGAAGGUAAAAUCUGCCCCACAGCAGAGAAAGCCCGAGCUCAGAAGGACAGCUGAGGGCAGGCAGUUAUCACAGAUGUAACCUCUGACAGAUUUAAGUGCUUUACGAGUUGAAUAUCAGCUCAUUUGGAAAGGACUUGAAAGACAUAACCGUGACAACUACAGGAUACGAAGAGCACUCAGAGACUUGUCCUGUGCCACUGGUCUGGGGUCGAUUCCAGCCUGCUCUGGUCCUAAUAACUUCCAAUACAAAGCCUGCUGAGGCUUUUUGAUGAGGAAGUUUACCACUCAAUGAGAAGAGCACAGCUGCCUGGUUUGCCCCAUAUCAGACAGUGCCUGGACAGCCAUCCCAAAAGUCAGACUGGACAACUUUUGGAGAUUAUUUUUCCUCAUUUAGGACUAUUUAUGCAAUGCAUUGAGAUUUAAAACACUGCCAGUAUUACUGUUGGUUACUUAACAACUAAUAACAUCCACAACAUUUUGCAGUGUCUGAUACAUUGUGCAACUGACUUAAUUUGCCCCCUCUGACGUUAAGAACAGUUAUUGUUAAGGAACAAUCCCUUAAAAUAUUUAGGUGGGUUGUUUAAUUCAAUUGAACAAUGUACUUGGAACUACUGUGAUGGAAUUAGCACACAGCGAAAUCAAUACAUGCUUAUUUAAAUUCCUUCUCAGUUACACGUAUUUUCUCUUUGGGCAUACAGUCCUUCAGUUUCUUACUGGGUGUCACUGCAGUACGGCGCCUUACCUGAAAACCAACACAGUAUUUGCACUCAAUAACCUUUGUUUAUUUUAAAUGGGAAUACUUUUUAUUCUUCCAGGCCAUGCUAAAUCCUGUUUGAUUCGGUCACUCGAACUCCUUCUCUCAGCACAGAAGGAGCAUCAUUUCAAAUAACAGUACUAAGCACAACUCCACUGAGAGUCACCUGAUUUCCCUGUUGGCCUUACUAUCCAAAGAUACAAGGAACUCCACUAACACAAAGAAAUACAAACAGGCCCAUUACAACAACUUGUUAUGCUUUAAGUUGAAGGAGAGCUUCUUUCUUUGGACAAUCUCUGGUACAGCAAACAAGUCUUGGGAAGGAAGGUAAAUGCCUAACACACACUUUGGAAUGUACAGGUUCAAAUUCUGCUAAUGUGAGAUAUGGAUGAUCAAAUGCCUGGGAUGCUACAUUAUUUUACAAAAAAAAAAAAAAGUAGAUACUCAAAAUGAAACAAGUCUGAAAAUUACAUGCUACUGACAUUUACAAUGCGAUUAAUUACUUAUGGGAGGAAACCAUCCCAUUAUCUAUCUGCCUAAAUUUUAAAAGUCAAGGGAACAAAAGUUAUAAUCUUGUUUGCAAAGCACCAGAUUAGCAGCAAGCAAACGGUUUUGUCUCCUUGGAUAAAUCUCUUGGACCAAGCAGUCCUUUGUAAAAAAGACACAUUACAGAGAUGUUUGCAGAUUUGGAACAUUUUCCAAAGCAAUAACAAUUUUUGUAUCCAGCUUAAUACAAAUUUGAAAGCAUUUUCUGAAGACUGGAAUUAAUUAUAAUUAUUCUCCCACAUUAUAUUUGGUGAUUAUAUAUUUCAAGUCAUGCUCUGUAAUUUCAAUUAUGAAGGUACUUUUACUUUUGAAGUAGAUAAGAGUCCUCAAAAACUGUUAAACUUCCACCAAGGAAAAUACGCCUGCCUAACAAAAACUUGUUCAAAUUCACAAAUAAUGCCUUUAAGAAAUAAUGCUUAGUGGUGCUUCUUAUGUGAAACAUGGAGGUCUACGCCAGCUGUGGAUGUGCUCCCAGUGCUUGAACUUUACACUCCAAGGAAGCAUGCCCAACCUGGACAUCCGUGCAUGCUGCCCAUUUCAGAUAUUCAUUCCUGUAUGCAGGGAUCCCAUCUACUGUUGACAGAAAAUCUGGACUUGUAAUAAUUACCAAAUCUCCAGUAGUGCGGCAACAAUCCAACAAAGUUAAGCAACAAAACCCUGCAUCAUGUUUUUGCCAGCACUUCCCUAAGGAAUAUUUCAGCUCAGUGCAAUUAAAAAAAAAAAAAAGUAUUCAGGGAUUUCAUUUUGGGAUUUUGGCUUUAUGAGUUUCUGGCAACUCUCCCCGUGUACAUGUGCUCUCUGAAAUAACGAGGUAUUAACCUGACAGUGCAGCUAUUUUUAAGGGGAAAAGAUGGGCUCUGAAACUUUGUUUUUAAAUUCAGAAGCAAAUUCUUUAUAAAAUUCUUCCUGUUCAGCAUAUAAAUUGAAUUCAUUUGGUUAGCCUUCCUAAAAUGUACAGCCCGUCUCUUCCUACCAUACUCCAUGCCAGCAAGCAGGUCAGGACUUGACAUAAUUGAGUGAAGAAACCUCCACCCUGUAAGAGUAUGGAAGAAACACAUCUGCUGGUAAUUCCUUGCAGCCGGGCACACACGUCCUCAUCAUGUUUACUUGAGAGUAAUGGCCACUGUUUGCAAACAAUUACAGUUUCCUCAGCACAGGCUGGAUGUCAGCGUGCGAAGCCCUUGUGUGCAGCAGCGCAGUGCUAUUACAAGUGCUCAGGCACCCCGCGCAGCUCAAGUAAAGCCACUUACUCAGUAAAGCUCUUCAAGUACGGAUCAUUUCUCCCAAUUAACACAGUGAGGCAACAGACACACAGGCCUCGCUAGAAACACCUAUGCUAUGUUUUUUCUCUAAACAAAGAAAUAUGACUUUUUUUCCUGGCAGUGACACCCCUCAAAUCCCGAAGAAUUAGCCUUCAUGAAAGCUCAUGGCAAUACUUGCUUCUUUCUCUUGGGCCACUGCUACUGGCCCUGCUACCUGUCUCGGAAUGGAAGCCCUCCUUCAGGCAGCACUAGUGCUAUUGAUCGGGGAGCAGCAGGGAAUUCGACACACGGCUUUAAAUGGGUAAUUCAGCCACUGUUCCCCACAGACACCACCACUGCAGCUCUUCACAGGAACGUUACAGAAGACCCUAACUUGUCUGAAGAGAUUAAAGGGAACAGGUCGUGUGCUGGCAAUAAUUUCUUAGCCUCAGAGCAAUCAAAUAAUGGUACAAAUAAAUGAUCCAUUUCACGUUUCAAGUGACAACUUACUAAAAACAGUGCAUUUUAAAGACAGUAUUAAUAAAAGGCUUAAUCUGAUGAUAUUUUAAAAACGUAAGAAUGUCUACGGAACAAUCACAGCAUCGACCUGAAGGCAGCAGGGAAUACUGCCAGCAAUAAUACCCAACAUGUUUACAGCUGUUUCACUGGCAAAAGCAAGUGCUAAUCACAAGCGUGAGCCUUCACAGCUCCGUCUUUCAUGGCCUUAUGGAGAACUUCUUGUCCUUCGAACAAAUGCAAAUGCUGGUUUCUCCUGAGGUGCCCAAAUUGUUCUUUUCAAGCCUUGAUGUUUUUACACAAUUCCCAGCAGCUCUUCUUAGCCUCUUACAUUCCGACUUCUGUUUACUGCUGCACUACUCCUCUUAGUGUAGUAGCACAUCAAUUAAUUAUACAGGAGUAUGCCUAAUCAGGUUUCCCUGGGGUUUUUAACAGAAACCCUUUGUAUUUCCUAAUGAUUCCCUCAGAUUCUAAAUAUUUUUAGUUCUGCAGUAAAAGAAAAAUCUAAGUCUGCUGACAACAAUAUUUCCAUAAAAGAUGAAAUUAGUAUUAAAAUCGUCCAUCCAAGCACACUUAAACUUCAGAGAAUUCAGAUUUAGUCUGGAUUUCAUGAUUAACAUUUUUAUACCACAUAAGCAGUCAGCACAUAUAGACAAGAAAUACAAAUGAAGAAGACAAGAGCUGAAGAACUGAUGUGACCUACUUUUCAUUGUAGUAUUAAAGCAGAUGCAUUCACACUGAUGGCAAAGCCUCCACUGACUUCAACACAGUGAUACCACCGAUUGGUAAGCAGCAAAAAACCCGUGACAAAUUUCUCGCACCCUGCCUUGUUCUGACACUGGACGUGUGCUCAGGACAGCCAGCAUUGCUUUCCUUUGUUCUAAGACUCCCCCCUCUAAUUCUCUCCCCCGUCCCACUGGGAGGGGGUAGUGAGCAAACAGCUCUAUGGUGCCCAGCUGCCUGCCGAGCUAAAGCACAACAGGAAGAAAUUCACAAACUUCCUCCUUGACUUAAAGGAGAAUUCAGGAUUUUAGUUAUAAUGCAUUAUCUACUAAAAGCCUAAAUCAGCAAAACCACAUCUGGCUUCUAUGUGGCAGAAGCUCAAAAAAAAAAAAAAAAAAAAA